AGAGGAGUAACUUAAAAGGAAAAGUACUGGUCUCCAAAAUCAGUAGUUGAGAGUUCAAAUCUCUCCUCCUCUG
RNAcentral lists this transfer RNA (73 nucleotides) under endosymbiont of Sipalinus gigas. It matches the Rfam family "tRNA". From Rfam's summary of the family: Transfer RNA (tRNA) molecules are approximately 80 nucleotides in length. Their secondary structure includes four short double-helical elements and three loops (D, anti-codon, and T loops). Further hydrogen bonds mediate the characteristic L-shaped molecular structure. tRNAs have two regions of fundamental functional importance: the anti-codon, which is responsible for specific mRNA codon recognition, and the 3' end, to which the tRNAs corresponding amino acid is attached (by aminoacyl-tRNA synthetases). tRNAs cope with the degeneracy of the genetic code in two manners: having more than one tRNA (with a specific anti-codon) for a particular amino acid; and 'wobble' base-pairing, i.e. permitting non-standard base-pairing at the 3rd anti-codon position. The record is from Rfam by way of RNAcentral. Lineage: Bacteria; Pseudomonadati; Pseudomonadota; Gammaproteobacteria.